CCUACGGGAGGCAGCAGUGGGGAAUAUUGGACAAUGGGGGGAACCCUGAUCCAGCCAUGCCGCGUGUGUGAAGAAGGCCCUCGGGUUGUAAAGCACUUUCAGUGAGGAAGAACGCCUGGUGGUUAAUACCCAUCAGGAAAGACAUCACUCACAGAAGAAGCACCGGCUAACUCCGUGCCAGCAGCCGCGGUAAUACGGAGGGUGCGAGCGUUAAUCGGAAUUACUGGGCGUAAAGCGCGCGUAGGUGGCUUGAUAAGCCGGUUGUGAAAGCCCCGGGCUCAACCUGGGAACGGCAUCCGGAACUGUCAAGCUAGAGUGCAGGAGAGGAAGGUAGAAUUCCCGGUAUAGCGGUGAAAUGCGUAGAGAUCGGGAGGAAUACCAGUGGCGAAGGCGGCCUUCUGGACUGACACUGACACUGAGGUGCGAAAGCGUGGGUAGCAAACAGGAUUAGAUACCCGAGUAGUC
Molecule: ribosomal RNA, 465 nt
Filed under: Vreelandella stevensii
Lineage: Bacteria; Pseudomonadati; Pseudomonadota; Gammaproteobacteria; Oceanospirillales; Halomonadaceae
Description: partial 16S ribosomal RNA
Rfam family: Bacterial small subunit ribosomal RNA
Source: RNAcentral